GGAGGUAUAGCUCAAAUGGUAGAGUGCAUGCUUAGCAUGCAUGAGGUCCUGGGUUCAAUCCCCAGUACCUCCU
Molecule: transfer RNA, 73 nt
Filed under: Camelus bactrianus (Bactrian camel)
Lineage: Eukaryota; Metazoa; Chordata; Mammalia; Artiodactyla; Camelidae
Also listed under: 2 other names
Rfam family: tRNA
About the family: Transfer RNA (tRNA) molecules are approximately 80 nucleotides in length. Their secondary structure includes four short double-helical elements and three loops (D, anti-codon, and T loops). Further hydrogen bonds mediate the characteristic L-shaped molecular structure. tRNAs have two regions of fundamental functional importance: the anti-codon, which is responsible for specific mRNA codon recognition, and the 3' end, to which the tRNAs corresponding amino acid is attached (by aminoacyl-tRNA synthetases). tRNAs cope with the degeneracy of the genetic code in two manners: having more than one tRNA (with a specific anti-codon) for a particular amino acid; and 'wobble' base-pairing, i.e. permitting non-standard base-pairing at the 3rd anti-codon position.
Source: Rfam by way of RNAcentral